UACGGAAGGCAGCAGUGGGGAAUAUUGCACAAUGGGCGCAAGCCUGAUGCAGCCAUGCCGCGUGUAUGAAGAAGGCCUUCGGGUUGUAAAGUACUUUCAGUCGUGAGGAAGGUGUUAAGGUUAAUAACCUUAGCAAUUGACGUUAGCGACAGAAGAAGCACCGGCUAACUCCGUGCCAGCAGCCGCGGUAAUACGGAGGGUGCGAGCGUUAAUCGGAAUUACUGGGCGUAAAGGGCACGCAGGCGGUUAAUUAAGUUGGAUGUGAAAUCCCCGGGCUUAACCUGGGAAUGGCAUUCAAGACUGGUUAGCUAGAGUCUUGUAGAGGGGGUAGAAUUCCAUGUGUAGCGGUGAAAUGCGUAGAGAUGUGGAGGAAUACCGGUGGCGAAGGCGACCCCUGGACAAAGACUGACGCUCAUGUGCGAAAGCGUGGGGAGCAAACAGGGAUUAGAUACC
Molecule: ribosomal RNA, 453 nt
Filed under: uncultured bacterium
Lineage: Bacteria
Description: bacterial SSU rRNA
Rfam family: Bacterial small subunit ribosomal RNA
Source: RNAcentral